GAUGAACGCUGGCGGCGUGCCUAAUACAUGCAAGUCGAGCGAACAGACGAGGAGCUUGCUCCUCUGACGUUAGCGGCGGACGGGUGAGUAACACGUGGAUAACCUACCUAUAAGACUGGGAUAACUUCGGGAAACCGGAGCUAAUACCGGAUAAUAUACUGAACCGCAUGGUUCAAUAGUGAAAGACGGUUUUGCUGUCACUUAUAGAUGGAUCCGCGCCGCAUUAGCUAGUUGGUAAGGUAACGGCUUACCAAGGCAACGAUGCGUAGCCGACCUGAGAGGGUGAUCGGCCACACUGGAACUGAGACACGGUCCAGACUCCUACGGGAGGCAGCAGUGGGAAAUCUUCCGCAAUGGGCGAAAGCCUGACGGAGCAACGCCGCGUGAGUGAUGAAGGUCUUCGGAUCGUAAAACUCUGUUAUUAGGGAAGAACAAAUGUGUAAGUAACUAUGCACGUCUUGACGGUACCUAAUCAGAAAGCCACGGCUAACUACGUG
This 497-nucleotide ribosomal RNA is filed under the name uncultured bacterium. RNAcentral's name for it is "partial 16S ribosomal RNA". It matches the Rfam family "Bacterial small subunit ribosomal RNA", at positions 28 to 507 of the family's 1533-position model. The record is from RNAcentral.